This 497-nucleotide ribosomal RNA is filed under the name uncultured bacterium. Its description in RNAcentral is "partial 16S ribosomal RNA". It matches the Rfam family "Bacterial small subunit ribosomal RNA", at positions 28 to 507 of the family's 1533-position model. The record is from RNAcentral.
GAUGAACGCUGGCGGCGUGCCUAAUACAUGCAAGUCGAGCGAACGGACGAGAAGCUUGCUUUUCUGAUGUUAGCGGCGGACGGGUGAGUAACACGUGGAUAACCUACCUAUAAGACUGGGAUAACUUCGGGAAACCGGAGCUAAUACCGGAUAAUAUUUUGAACCGCAUGGUUCAAAAGUGAAAGACGGUCUUGCUGUCACUUAUAGAUGGAUCCGCGCUGCAUUAGCUAGUUGGUAAGGUAACGGCUUCCCAAGGCAACGAUGCAUAGCCGACCUGAGAGGGUGAUCGGCCACACUGGAACUGAGACACGGUCCAGACUCCUACGGGAGGCAGCAGUAGGGAAUCUUCCGCAAUGGGCGAAAGCCUGACGGAGCAACGCCGCGUGAGUGAUGAAGGUCUUCGGAUCGUAAAACUCUGUUAUUAGGGAAGAACAUAUGUGUAAGUAACUGUGCACAUCUUGACGGUACCUAAUCAGAAAGCCACGGCUAACUACGUG